This 95-nucleotide transfer RNA is filed under the name Paraburkholderia solisilvae. RNAcentral's name for it is "tRNA-Val". Lineage: Bacteria; Pseudomonadati; Pseudomonadota; Betaproteobacteria; Burkholderiales; Burkholderiaceae. The record is from RNAcentral.
CGAAUAUCGGUGCAUCGGCGGGCAAGACGUGCUUCACAAGCACGACCGGAACGCCAUUUGCGUUGGCGGCGUCGAUCGCCUUGGCGAUAUUCGGC